Molecule: long non-coding RNA, 404 nt
Filed under: Felis catus (domestic cat)
Lineage: Eukaryota; Metazoa; Chordata; Mammalia; Carnivora; Felidae
Description: lncRNA (ENSFCAG00000049699.1)
Source: RNAcentral
GUAAGUUAAAUGUUAAUUUGAAUUAUACAUCAGAUUUAUGAGGUCAUUUUGUAGCCCUAAUUAGUUGCCUUUGGAGGCAGGAAAGAAAUAACAAUUACAGUAUUUUAUUUAAUAAGCACUUAUAGAGUUCCAAGACCAGUUCUAAGCACUUUAAAAUAUUAACUCAUUCCUCAUAGCAACCCUGUGACAUAGAUAUUAUUAUUAUUAUUUCCAUUCUGUAGAGAAGGAAUUGAGGCAAUUGACAGAACUAAAAUUUGAAACCAGUCUAGCUCCAAAAUCUAGAAGUUUUGGGUUUCAUGGACUACCAUAGAAAAGUAUCAUAUACAGAAGAUAACAUCAAAAUUUACAAGAUGCACUAGAAAACAAACUACCAUUUAAGUGUCAACAUAUGCACCAAAAAGAGA